Long non-coding RNA from Gambusia affinis (western mosquitofish), 754 nucleotides. RefSeq lists it as uncharacterized. The transcript is spliced from 4 exons. Lineage: Eukaryota; Metazoa; Chordata; Actinopteri; Cyprinodontiformes; Poeciliidae. The record is from RefSeq and is a predicted model, not a curated record.
AGGGACCAAAUAUCACCUUCUUCCAUAUAACAGGCAAUAGUUAGCUAUUUUAUCUUCUUUUAUACCCAUUAGAGUAGCAAAACACACAUAUAUUUAUCUAGUUUAAAAUAUAAUUACACCACUUCACAUUUAAAGUCACUUAAAUCCACUUUCUUCCCUUUCUGAUUCUGUGUUUGAAUUUCAGCAUCUAGAUCCUAAAUGCAUUCUGUUGCUGGAAGCUGGUGUUAACAGUACCUAAUAAACAGGCCAAUGAAAAUCUUAUUAGGACUAGGAGGUGCAGGUUGUUCAUCUAAAAGAUCUUCUACUGAGCCGUGUACAGAGCUGUGAUAUGAACAGGAAGACUGGGCUACUCGGGGGAAACCCAAGGCGGUUGUGUCUGAGUAGAGUUGAGCGGAGAGGUUAGCUAGUCCAGGAUUCCUCAUAAUGGGAAAACCACAGAGGAAUUCAAUCUGCUGCCAGCGGUGAAGACGUUCUCGCAGACAAGCUGUUACUUCGGACAACGCAUGCCUAUGGGGGAGGAGCUGUGGGCCAUUUGAAGCGUUCCCAAAACAGAACUUCUCUUCUUCUUGAUCCUCUCUGCCUGCAGAAAAAUUAAAGAGAGAUGUGACAGACAGUGCAGCGGCAAGUUGCAGUUCUGCGCUGUGCUUUUUGACAUUGUAGUGCUGAACCUCCACCUCAUGUGUAACCUGGAGCCACUGCUGAAGGGCGCCCGAGACUGUCCAGCUGGCUAUCAUCUCCCUCUCUGCCUGCUUCA